Lycium barbarum (goji berry) is the source of this 2887-nucleotide long non-coding RNA. RefSeq lists it as uncharacterized. The transcript has 2 exons. NCBI's taxonomy places the organism in Eukaryota, Viridiplantae, Streptophyta, Magnoliopsida, Solanales, Solanaceae. The record is from RefSeq and is a predicted model, not a curated record.
UCUACAUGUUUUAAUGACUAAAAGUUGCAUACUCUUUAAAAGCUCACCUACUUGUUGUAGAAGCUUUGUUGCAUUCUAGCUAUGCCUUAAUAGACUUUGUAGCAACUUUGUUGCAUUCUAGCUAUGCCUUAAUAGACUCCAUUAGCCUAAAAAGUUAUCUGCACUAUGUAAGGUUGGAUUGAUAGCUUUCCUUAUCAAAAAAAAAAAAAAAUGGUUGGAUUGAUAGCUUAAAAGAAUGGUGGUCAGUCGUGUGGCUUCCCUUCUUGGGUCCUUUUGUAGUUGCUGGUUUGUUCAGGCAUGUAAUAUGACCAUAUCAGGACUGUUUAUUUGUAUCCCCUGGUUUCAUGAAUCCAUAAGUAAAGAAUGCAUAUUUUGGUUGACCUUUCUAGACAGUUUUAGUCUCUUUACUGUCAUACUUUGUUAGAUGCUUUACAUGUUGUCUUGUAGUCUUGAAAAUAAAGGUGUGAACUUGUUUGAACGACCUAUUAUCAUGUUCAAGAGUUUCAAGUUGAAAUCAUAGUUGCUUUAUAUUCUGGAAGUAUUUUAUUUUAAAAGUUGAUGUGCUUUCAGCUGGAUGUUUAAAAUCAUUUGAGUCAUGUAAAAAGUGAUCAGUUGUUCUAAGUCACUAAUCUCAGAUUGUUGUAUUUCUUUCUCUGGUGAAACUUUAAAAUAUAAAAGAAGGCUUUGGAUUUGAUCAAUGGUCUAAAUGUUUGAGAGCUAACUGUUUUUAAGGCUGCAUAUUAGAUUGUUUGAUGUAUGAGAUCUUUAAUGAUUUAACCAAAUUUUGGAAAUAAUUGCUAUUUGUGUGCCUAAUUGUUAAUUACCACAUAUAGCAUUUGAUGGUUUCCAUCUCUAAUUGUUGGGACUGUACAUCUAAUCAUUUGGAGUUGAAGUUUGCAUAUGAACAACAGAUUGUCUGAUAGGCACAACACAAGCAGUAGUUUAACCUGCUGCUGCUCCCAUAUUCUAACUCUGUUACAAAUCAGCCCAACUUCAAGGCCUGCACACCCUUUCACCAUUGUACAGACAUGCUGCUCCUCUGAUGUAUAUCUGAGAGAGGCCAGCAGUAGAAGACUGUUGCUGCUGCCAUAUUCUAACUCCCAUACCUGCAGCAAAAAAACUGCAUUUAUGCACACCUUGUGCCUGUUAGUUUCCAUAAAUCACCUUGUGCACCAACAGCAAUAAUCUGUGCUGGUUUCUGCAUCUGACCAAAAUUAAGCACAAUAUCCAGCAAUACUAUCAGUCUCCAUCUUCCUGCUGAUGUGCCAUUUCUCACACCAGUAGUCUAAAACAGAUCUGCACAUACUCCUUAUUUCUCCAUGUAUUAUUCUGGUGUUUAAUAAACACCUCCAGCCAAGGCUAUGAUGUUAAUGCCAUCACUGCAGCCUUCAAAUUGGUCCUUAUCAAAAUUCCUGGUGAUGUGCAAAGUUCCUCACACCAGCAGCCUAUUUCCAGCAGUCAUUUGAUGUUUAGCAGUCACCUCUAGCCUUCUCAGCAUGUUCACUCCCUCCUCUCUUUUUUUUUUUUUUUUUUUUUUUUUUAAAUCACCAGCAAUCACUGCAGCACAUCCAAGCACAGUCUGAUAGGAUUGUAUUAGUUGCCAACAAAGAAAUUUUGAAGAUUCAAAUAAAUGUGGCAAGGUGAAAGGUUUUAGUCCUACACAGUCUGGUAGGAUUGUAUUAGUUGCCAACAAAGUUUAGAAGAUGCUUUCUAGCAAGUUUUUUAGUCUCCAACUAAUGAGAAGUGUUUGGCAUAGGCUACAUCAAGUAUAUGCUUAUAAGCUAAUUAUCAAAGUAUAGAUCACAAUUCAAAACAAAAAGGUUGACACUUGCUUAAUAAUGGGUUUUCUUCAUGAAAGUUACAAUGUUACGUUGUUCUCAUUAUGAGAAUUUUGGUGCAAUGUAAUAUAUGUGUUAUUAGGUUGAUUGUAUGUUCAUAGUCAGUUUACGUGUCUAAGAACAUGUAGGCAUUUGAUUAAAAGCUUGCAGGUUCACAUUGCACUGAACUUUGAGAAAUCUUAGUAUCGGUAUUCUAUUACAUCCACUAAUUUAAUUUCUUGACCGUGAGAGAAAGAUGACACCGAAAAUUAUGAAAUAGAUUAACAACAACUCAACAUUUACUUUGAAUAGACAUAAAAGUUAGGCCUCCAAGCUCAAGUUCCUUAUAGUUGUGUUGUCUGUUUGAUGAAAUCUUCAUAUUCCUCCAAAUUGUUCGUGUGUUUCAUAUCUCUUUUGUGUUUUGUUCUGAACAUUUGACAUGGCUAUGAUUGUAAUUGUUAAGGGUCACAUUGACUGGAUAGUUACUUAUUUUAUAUUGAAUUCAACUAUCAUUACAGGGUAAAUGGUGGAUAGCAAUUAUAAUCAUACUAAAUUUGGAUUAAAUGUGACAUAUGAAGCUCAUUCAUACUUGGCAACGUGGUUGGUCAGUUGAAUUACCCUGAAUGUUGAGAUCAUAAAUAUCGUUUUGAAAAGAUGGCAGGUAAAAAGAGGGGUAAGAAAACAAAGAAGGCUAACGAGACAGCGGUUUCCCGGAGACCACCAGAAAACCUUGCGAUUAGAAUGUUUGAAUGUUAAUGUUUGGUGGAUUUGUGGAUUUGCGAGGGUGAAGUAGUCUAAUGUUGUAGAUUAACUUAGUGUAGACUAACUUAGUGUAGACUAGUUUAAUGUUUUGUGGAUGUUUACAAAUGUUGAAGUAGUUUAAUGUUGUUUUGAUGUUUGCGAAGGUUGAAGUAGCUUAAUUAAUGUCUCUUGUGAAUGUUUGAUUGACGUUUUUAUUCAACUUUGAAGUAGUUUCGAAUUGAAUUUGAUGUUUUGGUGGUUGUAAUAUAUGUGUUGUAAUAGUAGCUUAUUGUUUUAUGUAUUUAUAGUAGUUUGGUGUAUUGUUGGCA